GGGGCCGUAGCUCAUCUGGGAGAGCGCUUGCCUUGCACGCAUGAGGUAGCGAGUUCGAUCCUCGUCGGCUCCACCA
Molecule: transfer RNA, 76 nt
Filed under: Tenericutes bacterium ADurb.Bin024
Lineage: Bacteria; Bacillati; Mycoplasmatota
Also listed under: 3 other names
Description: tRNA-Ala
Rfam family: tRNA
About the family: Transfer RNA (tRNA) molecules are approximately 80 nucleotides in length. Their secondary structure includes four short double-helical elements and three loops (D, anti-codon, and T loops). Further hydrogen bonds mediate the characteristic L-shaped molecular structure. tRNAs have two regions of fundamental functional importance: the anti-codon, which is responsible for specific mRNA codon recognition, and the 3' end, to which the tRNAs corresponding amino acid is attached (by aminoacyl-tRNA synthetases). tRNAs cope with the degeneracy of the genetic code in two manners: having more than one tRNA (with a specific anti-codon) for a particular amino acid; and 'wobble' base-pairing, i.e. permitting non-standard base-pairing at the 3rd anti-codon position.
Source: RNAcentral